UGGGGAAUUUUGGACAAUGGGCGAAAGCCUGAUCCAGCAAUGCCGCGUGUGUGAAGAAGGCCUUCGGGUUGUAAAGCACUUUUGUCCGGAAAGAAAUCCUUGGCUCUAAUACAGUCGGGGGAUGACGGUACCGGAAGAAUAAGCACCGGCUAACUACGUGCCAGCAGCCGCGGUAAUACGUAGGGUGCAAGCGUUAAUCGGAAUUACUGGGCGUAAAGCGUGCGCAGGCGGUUUGCUAAGACCGAUGUGAAAUCCCCGGGCUCAACCUGGGAACUGCAUUGGGUGACUGGCAGGCUAGAGUAUGGCAGAGGGGGGUAGAAUUCCACGUGUAGCAGUGAAAUGCGUAGAGAUGUGGAGGAAUACCGAUGGCGAAGGCAGCCCCCCUGGGGCCAAAUACUGACGCUCAUGCACGAAAGGCGUGGGGAGCAAACAGGAUUAGAUACCCUGGUAGUCCACGCCCUAAACGAUGUCAACUAGUUGUUGGGGAUUCAUUUCCUAGUAACGUAGCUAACGCGUGAAGUUGACCGCCUGGGGAGUACGGUCGCAAGAUUAAAACUUAAAGGAAUUGACGGGGUCAUAGCUGUUUCCU
Molecule: ribosomal RNA, 589 nt
Filed under: uncultured bacterium
Lineage: Bacteria
Description: partial 16S ribosomal RNA
Rfam family: Bacterial small subunit ribosomal RNA
Source: RNAcentral